This is a small nucleolar RNA of Ornithorhynchus anatinus (platypus), 138 nucleotides long. The record is from RefSeq and is a predicted model, not a curated record. NCBI's taxonomy places the organism in Eukaryota, Metazoa, Chordata, Mammalia, Monotremata, Ornithorhynchidae.
CACCUCUCAGGGUCGUACCUGGAGAGUUUCUGGUAUUCUACCAGUCUCAACUAUGGGAAGGAAAGUCAAGCAGAGGCAUAUCCAUUCCUUUCCUAGCUUGUGCAGUGGCUAGCAUGUGGAAGGCAAUCUGUUACAAGU